AUGGCCGCGCCGUUCCUCUCGAUCCGGACGGGCAUCAGCACGCCGAGUCGUCCGGAAGAAGAACCACCGGAGUUAGCCCAAGGGCUCGCCGGAAAAGGAGAAGGGGGCACCGCAGCCAAACCGCUCGACGGCGGCGCGUUCACCGCGAGGUGGACGCGCAACCGGCGAGGGGAAAGGCCACGGCGCUGCCGUCGGAACCUCUGCCGCAGUCGUUGUCCAGAUUGA
Molecule: ribosomal RNA, 225 nt
Filed under: Triticum aestivum (bread wheat)
Lineage: Eukaryota; Viridiplantae; Streptophyta; Magnoliopsida; Poales; Poaceae
Description: partial small subunit ribosomal RNA
Source: RNAcentral